Non-coding RNA from Parelaphostrongylus tenuis, 73 nucleotides. NCBI's taxonomy places the organism in Eukaryota, Metazoa, Nematoda, Chromadorea, Rhabditida, Metastrongylidae. The record is from the annotation of a GenBank genome assembly.
GCUUCGAUGGUGCAAACGGCUAGCAUGCGCUCCCGGAAAGAGUGAGAUCUGGGUUUGAAUCCCGGCCGACGCA